Molecule: ribosomal RNA, 565 nt
Filed under: uncultured bacterium
Lineage: Bacteria
Description: bacterial SSU rRNA
Rfam family: Bacterial small subunit ribosomal RNA
Source: RNAcentral
GGAUGUCGAAUGGGCGCAGCCUGACGACGCAACGCCGCGUGGAGGACGAAGAUCUUCGGGUCGUAAACUCCUUUCGAUCGGGACGAACGGCUUCCGGGUGAAUAAUCCGGAAGAGUGACGGUACCGAGAGAAGAAGCCCCGGCUAACUCCGUGCCAGCAGCCGCGGUAAUACGGGGGGGGCAAGCGUUGUUCGGAAUUACUGGGCGUAAAGGGCUCGUAGGCGGCCAACUAAGUCCGACGUGAAAUCCCCAGGCUUAACUUGGGAACUGCGUCGGAUACUGGUUGGCUUGAAUCCGGGAGAGGGAUGCGGAAUUCCAGGUGUAGCGGUGAAAUGCGUAGAUAUCUGGAGGAACACCGGUGGCGAAGGCGGCAUCCUGGACCGGCAUUGACGCUGAGUGAGCGAAAGCCAGGGGAGCAAACGGGAUUAGAUACCCCGGUAGUCCUGGCCCUAAACGAUGAAUGCUUGGUGUGACGGGUAUCGAUCCCUGUCGUGCCGCAGCUAACGCAUUAAGCGCCCCGCCUGGGGAGUACGGCCGCAAGGCUAAAACUCAAAAGAAUUGACGGA